AUCUGCUUCUUCAUAUUUAGUGUAAAUCCAAACAGCAACGCUCCUGAGUUUGUGUCCCACGUCACCUUCAGUCCGCUCAGAGCAGAGGAAUCAUUUCCAUAGAGAGGAGGCUUUGCAUCGUCAGCUGAUCCUCCACUGAACUGAGAAGCUUUAUAGUCCUGUGACUCCAACUCUGCAGGACUCAGACCCGUCAGUCGACCACAACCACCAUGACUCUCAUCACCCUCCUCAUCUGGACGCUGGCCUGCUGCAGCUUCACAGGAUGCAGCGGCCAGGUGACUGUGACUCAGCCUCCAGUCGUGACAUUUACUCCAGAAUCCACUGUCACUCUGACCUGUAAAACCAACCCCAGUGUUUAUAGGAAUAGUAAUGGUGACUAUAUGUCCUGGUACCAGCAGAAACCUGGACAGGCUCCCAAGCUUCUUAUAUACUAUGCAACAACUCUUAAUACAGGAACUCACUCUCGAUUCAGUGGCAGUGGCUCUGGUUCUAGCUUCACUUUAACCAUCAGCGGUGUUAAGGCUGAAGAUGCUGGAGAUUAUUACUGUCAGAGUUAUCAUAGCGGUCCAGUGUUCACACAGUGAUUUAGAGCCGUACAAAAACCUCCCUCUUUUGGACUGAAGUGAAACUGGUCUGCUGCAGCUGCACAGAGAAUAACUGGUCCAGUGAACACAACACAAGUCUUCAUGCAGAGCGACAAUGAGGCUAAACACAACUGAAACAUACUCGCAGUUUUAAAUGUUCAGAAAUCUCCAAACAAAGCCCCAUGAAACCAACUUUGUCAAAUUUAUAUUUUCUACUUUAUUUAUUUGAAAAACAGUCCAAUUAUCAAUUAAGAAUAACACAAUUUGUAAUUAUAAUUUAUAAUCGACGGGGCACAACCAUGGUGCCAGGGACCAACAAUCAAACGUAAAGAUCAGUCUCAUUCAGAUCUAGUUCAAUUAGAAAUCUAAAUAUUUACUAUCAAACAUUAUAUAAUGAACAGUGAAGGUUAUGGAGAUCUUGACAGUGUAGCAGUUGGCAAAAUUCAACAUU
Non-coding RNA from Pleuronectes platessa (European plaice), 1035 nucleotides. The record is from the annotation of a RefSeq genome assembly. NCBI's taxonomy places the organism in Eukaryota, Metazoa, Chordata, Actinopteri, Pleuronectiformes, Pleuronectidae.